AUGGAGCGCUGCUAAAGCAGCUCUUUUCCUUUGCCUCUGCUCUCGCCACUGCCUUAGUUGUUCCUCAAUUGCUGCCUUAGCUUUCUCAGCCAUCUCAGCCCUGCUCACUGCCUGCUCUGCCUGAGUCCUAAACUCAGCAAUUCUCACCAUUGCAAAUUCCAACUCCUUCAGAACUUCCGCCUCAUCCCUAUUUUCAAAUGUGGCCGAUUGACUUAAAUUUUCAGAUAGCAAUACUGGAAUUUGAUCCGCCUUCUUAGCCUUGCUAACCAAUGAUUCAUAUUCAAUCACUGAAAUUGUGAUGUGGUCAUCUUUUCUUGCUUUAGCUUCUUUAUUGUAUUCAUCUUUUUGGGAAAGUUCUAAAUCUUGAGAAGAGACUUCAAAUUGGGGGUUGACAGAGACAGUCUCUCUAGUUAUUUCUUUUGCUUCAUCCGCUCCUUGUUUUAGCCUUUGGCUCUCCUUCUUGGCUUCUCCUGCUUCUACUGCUAGUUGCUGGACUGCAAGAUAUAGCCCGGACUUAACACUCUCAGCCCUUGCUUCAGCUGCCUCUGCUGCUGCAAUUCUUGACCUCCCUUUGUGAAGCUCAGAUUUCACAAGUGCUAUUUCAACUUGAGCUUCAUUCUCCCUUCCUCUAAUCUCAUCCACCUCAAUUUUUGUCUUCUCUAAUUCCCCUGUAAGCAUCUCAACAUCACACUUUAAACGGCCUACCUCCUCAUUUGCAUUCUUAAGCUUUAUUUUCAACUGAUUAAGCUCCAUUUCCAGUGAGUUAAUGGAUACUGCUUGUUCUGAGUUCUCUCUUUCCUGCCUUUCAAAAUCUGAUUUUAGCUGGUUUAAAUUGUUAAUAGCUUCAGAAGCAGCUUUUGCAGAUAAACUGUGAAGUUCAUUGGCUUCUUUAAGUUCAAAUUGCAGGGUUUCAAUAAAUACCGAUUUAGCCAGGAGCUCAUUUUCCAGAAACUGCACUAUCUCUAUAGAACUGCAGAGUUCUCUUUCUCUGCUUCAAUAGCAGCCAGCUUUGAAUGAAGAAUAGCUUCAUUAAGCUCUGAUACAUGCUUUAGAAGCUCAGCUGUCUUGCCUCUUUCCAUGUUGACAGCAGUUUGCAUCAGCUCUGCUUGUGUCAUAGCCUUGAAUUCAGAUUCUCUAGCAUCAGCAAGUUCUGUUUCCACACGAAGUAACUCUUCUUGUGCACUUUUCAACUCGCUUAAAGCUUGUGAAAGCUGCUCUCGAACCUUUGCAGUUUCCAACAAUUGAUCAGCCAUCUCCUUCGUCUUGGUUUCAAGUUCAUCUAUCCGGAUUCUAGAUUCUAUGCAUUCAUUUAUGUAUUUAUCUCUCUCAACCUCGGAGCUCUUCAGCAAGGUGGAAAGCUCAUCUGCUGCUUUCCGAUAGUGAUCCAGCUUAAGAAGGGCAUGCAUGUGGGCAGAGUCCUUUGCCUCCAGUUGCACCUUGCAGUUGGCUAAGUCCUUUAGCAGACCUUCAAGCUCUUGUUCUUUCUCCAACUCUGGCUGGUGAAGGAAAUAGGACAACAAUAGGAAUAUCAAAACUAUCCAAUUUUACAGUAA
This is a long non-coding RNA of Vitis riparia (riverbank grape), 1553 nucleotides long. RefSeq lists it as uncharacterized. NCBI's taxonomy places the organism in Eukaryota, Viridiplantae, Streptophyta, Magnoliopsida, Vitales, Vitaceae. The transcript has 2 exons. The record is from RefSeq and is a predicted model, not a curated record.